AGAGUUUGAUCAUGGCUCAGAUUGAACGCUGGCGGCGUGCUUAACACAUGCAAGUCGAACGCGAAAGGGACUUCGGUCCUGAGUAAAGUGGCGCACGGGUGAGUAACGCGUGGAUAAUCUGCCCUUAUGAUCGGGAUAACAGUUGGAAACGGCUGCUAAUACCGGAUACGCUCAAAAUGAACUUUUUGAGGAAAGAUGGCCUCUGCUUGCAUGCUAUCGCGUAAGGAUGAGUCCGCGUCCCAUUAGCUUGUUGGCGGGGUAACGGCCCACCAAGGCAACGAUGGGUAGCCGAUUUGAGAGGAUGAUCGGCCACACUGGAACUGAAACACGGUCCAGACUCCUACGGGAGGCAGCAGUGGGGAAUAUUGCGCAAUGGGCGAAAGCCUGACGCAGCGACGCCGCGUGAGGGAUGAAGGUUUUCGGAUCGUAAACCUCUGUCAGAAGGGAAGAAACUACAUUGUGCUAAUCAGCAGUGUACUGACGGUACCUUCAAAGGAAGCACCGGCUAACUCCGUGCCAGCAGCCGCGGUAAUACGGAGGGUGCAAGCGUUAAUCGGAAUUACUGGGCGUAAAGCGCACGUAGGCUGUAGUGUAAGUCAGGGGUGAAAUCCCACGGCUCAACCGUGGAACUGCCUUUGAUACUGCACAACUUGAAUCCGGGAGAGGGUGGCGGAAUUCCAGGUGUAGGAGUGAAAUCCGUAGAUAUCUGGAGGAACAUCAGUGGCGAAGGCGGCUUUCUGGACUGAAACUGACGCUGAGGCACGAAAGCGUGGGGAGCGAACAGGAUUAGAUACCCUGGUAGUCCACGCCGUAAACGAUGAGUGCUAGGUGUCGGAGGGGAACCUUCGGUGCCGCAGCAAACGCAAUAAGCACUCCACCUGGGGAGUACGAUCGCAAGAUUGAAACUCAAAGGAAUUGACGGGGGCCCGCACAAGCGGUGGAGCAUGUGGUUUAAUUCGAAGCAACGCGAAGAACCUUACCAAGGCUUGACAUCCCGAUGCCGCACAUAGAGAUAUGUGUUUUCUACGGAACAUCGGAGACAGGUGGUGCAUGGUUGUCGUCAGCUCGUGUCGUGAGAUGUUGGGUUAAGUCCCGCAACGAGCGCAACCCUUAUCUUUAGUAGCCAGCAGUAAGAUGGGCACUCUAGAGAGACUGCCGUGGAUAACACGGAGGAAGGUGGGGAUGACGUCAAAUCAUCAUGCCCCUUAUGUCUUGGGCAACACACGUGCUACAAUGGGCGGAACAAAGUGAAGCAAAGCCGCGAGGUGGAGCGAAGCACAAAAAUCCGUUCUCAGUUCGGAUUGUAGUCUGCAACUCGACUACAUGAAGCUGGAAUCGCUAGUAAUCGCGAAUCAGCAUGUCGCGGUGAAUACGUUCCCGGGCCUUGUACACACCGCCCGUCACACCAUGGGAGUUGGAAGCACCCGAAGCCUGUGACCUAACCGCAAGGGAGGAGCAGUCGAAGGUGAAGCCAGUGACUGGGGUGAAGUCGUAACAAGGUAACCGUAGCGGC
RNAcentral lists this ribosomal RNA (1513 nucleotides) under Desulfovibrio sp. enrichment culture clone Ecwsrb032. RNAcentral's name for it is "bacterial SSU rRNA". It matches the Rfam family "Bacterial small subunit ribosomal RNA". Lineage: Bacteria; Pseudomonadati; Thermodesulfobacteriota; Desulfovibrionia; Desulfovibrionales; Desulfovibrionaceae. The record is from RNAcentral.